AGAGAGUUGGCAGAGUGGUCGAAUGCGGUGGUCUUGAAAACCAUUGUACCGCGAGGUACCGGGGGUUCGAAUCCCUCACUCUCUGCAA
This 88-nucleotide transfer RNA is filed under the name Flammeovirga sp. SJP92. Its description in RNAcentral is "tRNA-Ser". It matches the Rfam family "tRNA". Rfam says of the family: Transfer RNA (tRNA) molecules are approximately 80 nucleotides in length. Their secondary structure includes four short double-helical elements and three loops (D, anti-codon, and T loops). Further hydrogen bonds mediate the characteristic L-shaped molecular structure. tRNAs have two regions of fundamental functional importance: the anti-codon, which is responsible for specific mRNA codon recognition, and the 3' end, to which the tRNAs corresponding amino acid is attached (by aminoacyl-tRNA synthetases). tRNAs cope with the degeneracy of the genetic code in two manners: having more than one tRNA (with a specific anti-codon) for a particular amino acid; and 'wobble' base-pairing, i.e. permitting non-standard base-pairing at the 3rd anti-codon position. Lineage: Bacteria; Pseudomonadati; Bacteroidota; Cytophagia; Cytophagales; Flammeovirgaceae. The record is from RNAcentral.